Molecule: ribosomal RNA, 253 nt
Filed under: uncultured bacterium
Lineage: Bacteria
Description: partial 16S ribosomal RNA
Rfam family: Bacterial small subunit ribosomal RNA
Source: RNAcentral
UACGUAGGGUGCGAGCGUUAAUCGGAAUUACUGGGCGUAAAGCGUGCGCAGGCGGCUUUGCAAGACAGAUGUGAAAUCCCCGGGCUCAACCUGGGAACUGCAUUUGUGACUGCAAGGCUAGAGUACGGCAGAGGGGGAUGGAAUUCCGCGUGUAGCAGUGAAAUGCGUAGAUAUGCGGAGGAACACCAAUGGCGAAGGCAAUCCCCUGGGCCUGUACUGACGCUAAUGCACGAAAGCGUGGGGAGCAAACAGG